AUCUACAGCCAUGCUACCCUGAACAAGCCUGAUACCAUCUGAUCUCAGAAGCUAAGCAAGGUUGGGCCUGGUUAGUACUAGGAUGGGAGACUACCUAGGAAGACCAGGUGCUGUAGGUG
RNAcentral lists this ribosomal RNA (119 nucleotides) under Pteropus alecto (black flying fox). Lineage: Eukaryota; Metazoa; Chordata; Mammalia; Chiroptera; Pteropodidae. The record is from RNAcentral. RNAcentral also lists the same sequence under 1 other name.